RNAcentral lists this ribosomal RNA (470 nucleotides) under uncultured bacterium. RNAcentral describes it as "bacterial SSU rRNA". It matches the Rfam family "Bacterial small subunit ribosomal RNA", at positions 330 to 792 of the family's 1533-position model. The record is from RNAcentral.
CCCAGACUCCUACGGGAGGCAGCAGUGGGGAAUAUUGCGCAAUGGGCGAAAGCCUGACGCAGCGACGCCGCGUGAGGGAUGAAGGUCUUCGGAUCGUAAACCUCUGUCAGCAGGGAAGAACGGUCACUGUGCUAAUCAGCAGUGAAUUGACGGUACCUGCAAAGGAAGCACCGGCUAACUCCGUGCCAGCAGCCGCGGUAAUACGGAGGGUGCGAGCGUUAAUCGGAAUUACUGGGCGUAGAGAGCGCGUAGGCGGGAUAGCAAGUCAGAUGUGAAAUCCGCAGGCUCAACCUGCGAACUGCAUUUGAAACUGUUUCCCUUGAGUAUCGGAGAGGUCAUCGGAAUUCCUAGUGUAGCGGUGAAAUGCGUAGAUAUUAGGAAGAACACCAGUGGCGAAGGCGGAUGACUGGACGACAACUGACGGUGAGGCGCGAAAGCGUGGGGAGCAAACAGGAUUAGAUACCCCCGUA